RNAcentral lists this unclassified non-coding RNA (345 nucleotides) under soil metagenome. RNAcentral describes it as "partial contains 5.8S ribosomal RNA, internal transcribed spacer 2, and large subunit ribosomal RNA". The stretch from base 1 to 119 matches the Rfam family "5.8S ribosomal RNA", at positions 35 to 154 of the family's 154-position model. The record is from RNAcentral.
GAUGAAUAACGCAGCGAAAUGCGAUACGUAAUGUGAAUUGCAAAUUCAGUGAAUCAUCGAGUCUUUGAACGCACAUUGCGCCCCCUGGUAUUCCGGGGGGCAUGCCUGUCCGAGCGUCAUUGCUGCCCUCAAGCACGGCUUGUGUGUUGGGCCCCGUCCUCCGAUCCCGGGGGACGGGCCCGAAAGGCAGCGGCGGCACCGCGUCCGGUCCUCGAGCGUAUGGGGCUUUGUCACCCGCUCUGUAGGCCCGGCCGGCGCUUGCCGAUCAACCCAAAUUUUUAUCCAGGUUGACCUCGGAUCAGGUAGGGAUACCCGCUGAACUUAAGCAUAUCAAUAAGCGGAGGA